CCUACGGGUGGCUGCAGUCGAGGAUCUUCGGCAAUGGGCGCAAGCCUGACCGAGCGACGCCGCGUGUGCGACGAAGGCCUUCGGGUUGUAAAGCACUGUCGAGGGGGAGAAAAGCCCGCAAGGGCUUGAUCUAUCCCUGGAGGAAGCACGGGCUAAGUUCGUGCCAGCAGCCGCGGUAAGACGAACCGUGCGAACGUUGUUCGGAAUCACUGGGCUUAAAGGGCGCGUAGGCGGAUGACCAAGUCGGGGGUGAAAUCUUUCGGCUUAACCGGAAAAUAGCUUUCGAUACUGGUCAUCUCGAGCGAGGUAGGGGCAUGCGGAACUUCCGGUGGAGCGGUGAAAUGCGUUGAUAUCGGAAGGAACUCCGGUGGCGAAAGCGGCGUGCUGGACCUCUUCUGAUGCUGAGGCGCGAAAGCCAGGGGAGCAAACGGGAUUAGAUA
This 440-nucleotide ribosomal RNA is filed under the name uncultured bacterium. Its description in RNAcentral is "bacterial SSU rRNA". It matches the Rfam family "Bacterial small subunit ribosomal RNA", at positions 338 to 784 of the family's 1533-position model. The record is from RNAcentral.